UGACAAUAUUGUAGGAGUGUGGCUAGAUAUCCUGUUUUCUCCCUCUCUGUCAUCACUUCUCUCUGUGCCAUGAUUUUCCUCUCACUAGUGAUCAAAUAUAAAGGAAAAUUACUGGAAAGAAGGAAAAAAAGCUGCUGUGGACAUCUUCCUAAU
Molecule: long non-coding RNA, 153 nt
Organism: Corvus hawaiiensis (hawaiian crow)
Lineage: Eukaryota; Metazoa; Chordata; Aves; Passeriformes; Corvidae
Exons: 2
Source: RefSeq, a predicted model, not a curated record